AUUGAACGCUGGCGGCAGGCUUAACACGUGCAAGUCGAGCGGAGAUGAGGUGCUUGCACCUUAUCUUAGCGGCGGACGGGUGAGUAAUGCUUAGGAAUCUGCCUAUUAGUGGGGGACAACAUUCCGAAAGGAAUGCUAAUACCGCAUACGUCCUACGGGAGAAAGCAGGGGAUCUUCGGACCUUGCGCUAAUAGAUGAGCCUAAGUCGGAUUAGCUAGUUGGUGGGGUAAGGGCCUACCAAGGCGACGAUCUGUAGCGGGUCUGAGAGGAUGAUCCGCCACACUGGGACUGAGACACGGCCCAGACUCCUACGGGAGGAAGCAGUGGGGAAUAUUGGACAAUGGGGGGAACCCUGAUCCAGCCAUGCCGCGUGUGUGAAGAAGGCCUUAUGGUUGUAAAGCACUUUAAGCGAGGAGGAGGCUACUGAGACUAAUACUCUUGGAUAGUGGACGUUACUCGCAGAAUAAGCACCGGCUAACUCUGUGCCAGCCGCCGCCGUAA
This 501-nucleotide ribosomal RNA is filed under the name uncultured bacterium. RNAcentral describes it as "partial 16S ribosomal RNA". It matches the Rfam family "Bacterial small subunit ribosomal RNA", at positions 30 to 523 of the family's 1533-position model. The record is from RNAcentral.